This 451-nucleotide long non-coding RNA is filed under the name Rhinopithecus bieti (black snub-nosed monkey). RNAcentral describes it as "lncRNA (ENSRBIG00000045293.1)". Lineage: Eukaryota; Metazoa; Chordata; Mammalia; Primates; Cercopithecidae. The record is from RNAcentral.
AAUACUUCAGUAGUUAAAAUGGCUUCGAUUUUUUUUCAUUCAAAUACUAUUUUUUCUUACUAGGUACUUGAGUGACAUGAGUCUCUUAAUCAUUUGAAAGUUAAAGCCUCAUCAACCAGCCCUACAGAAUAAAGAAUAUGAAGCAUCCCAUGCUGCACUGCAUAUUCAAGGUUCUGUUACCCACUGUGCAGUACAAUAAGAUAUUUUGAGAUCAAGAUGACUGACUAGAAGAAUUCAGCACAUGCCUCCUUCACAAAGAAAGAUAAAAACAGCAACUAGAUAACCACAUGUAGAAUUAAGCAUCUAAAGGACACUGGAAUUCAGCAUAAAACUGAUGAAGACCCUCUGAAUCCCAAGAAACUCAAGAUGGCAGCUUAGAGAGGGAAGCAAACCAACCAGCCUAGAUUGGCUCAGAGCCAAGAGAGACUGCCAAUAGCAAGAGCAAUUAAGC